This 1757-nucleotide long non-coding RNA is filed under the name Anser brachyrhynchus (Pink-footed goose). RNAcentral's name for it is "lncRNA (ENSABRG00000019741.1)". The record is from RNAcentral. Lineage: Eukaryota; Metazoa; Chordata; Aves; Anseriformes; Anatidae.
GUCUGACUUGCACAGAGGCCACAGCUAAUCAUUUCAGGAGCAGCUAUAGUGAAAGAUAUUGAGGGACAGUUUGGGAGGAGGACUGAGGGGAAUGACACAUUGAAUGGACUUGCCUGGUUUUUACACGUACUUUGUCCAUACUUAGACUGCAUAGAAAGCUUGGCUGUGUAUCGACUCUUUUAAAAGGGAGAAUUGCUUGCUUCCUAUGUUCCACAGCUUGUGUUAAUAAAGAAGUAAUCAUCAUCUGUCCCUCCCAGGUUUCCCUGAUGGUCUCAGCAGCUUGCUCCAGGCUGUUUGCCUCGUUGUCUCCUGGCCAAGCUUGCUGUCAGGGACUCUGGCUUUGCAACAGAGCCACAGUGAAAAUGGGGGAGCUGGAGGAUCAGAUACAGGGUGAUGGGCAAACAUCUGAACACACAGGUGGAUGGAAGGAGGGGUAGCAAUCACAUUGCCACUUGGUACGUGCACCUUGGCAGAAGGUGGUUAAUCGCCAGUUAGCAGGCGUUCCUUCUUAAAAGGCACGGGCAGGACGGAGCAGGAGCAUGCUGCUUGCAUUGCAUGUGGCCUUUUGCAUUCGACAGGAGCAAUGUAUUAAAAAGAGCGGCUGGAAGCCUGAUGUCACCUGAUGUCACCUACCUUCCUCCCCUGCAAGUUUUAAUUAUAGCUCCGGACUUGGCUGAGACAUGUCACUGGGCCUCGUGCUAAGACAGCUUCUUUAUAACUAAAAUUGGUGUCCAAGGAGGAAGCGUGUAUGGCAAGAUGUUGAAACACAAAUGCAUUUUAUAAAAGUACUUCUGGGUGGAGCUUCAGAAUUAAGCUAGAUCUCAUAGUAAGACAAAGAAAUUAGGCCAACCAGCAAUCUGUCUUUACAUAUUUCUUUAUUUUUUUCCUGGCUUCCAAGUUAACCGAAAAAGCUGAGAGGUGGCCCAUGUGGAGCAAUGGACUUGUGAGUGCAGGAGCUGCAUGAUUUCAGCCAUGAGACAACUUAUAUCUGAUCUCCUUGCACAGGAAGAAGUUAUUUCAAGCGCAUUAUUUGCAACCCGUCUAAAGGACAUUUUCAGCUGGAGUCCUUCAGCAUAGGCGGGGAGUUCUAAUUUCAGCAGGCAUGGGGUGAGGCUUUGCAAUGCUCCUCACAGAUAUUGCUGUACAGAGCAAUGGCUUGGUCUUACAGCCACGGAAGAAAUAUGUAAAUAAUUUUUCUGUAUCUCAGAUGUGAACUGUCGUGUAGCCCUGUGGUUCUUAAGUCACUGCUUGAGGCCACUGGGUGGAGACAGAGCUGGACAGAGCUGGACUUUGGGAGUCCCUAUUGUCUUAUCCGCCUUCUUUCCUAAGCCCUGCUGUAAGUAAGCAGAGACACAGCUGGAAUGGAAAUGGAAAAUGCAGCUGCAAUUAAACUUCUGUUCCCAAAGCCUUUGCAGGUUGUGUUUUUGGUGUCCCAGGUGGAUGUCUUGUAGUCCGGUGAGGCCAAAACAGCGGAGAUGUGGUUUUAUUUUACCUUUGGAAUAUAUGUGCAAAUUCUUAUAAUAUCUGCUUCAUAAAAUUGAGGGUUUGUAACAGUGGAGGGAGUGCCUUCAAAAUAGCAUGCAAACAUUUUGUUAAAGACUUAGUGCUUUUUUUUUUUUUCUUGAAACAUCCUCUUGGGGCAUUUAAAAUCAUCUGUUUUCAAACUUCAGAAACUUUCUCUCUACUGGGGCUAAGUUCUGUCAUCCAAAAUCCCUUUUCAUGUGCUCUUGUAAAAUAAAGCAGCUUCGGUACGGGCA